Rhopalosiphum padi (bird cherry-oat aphid) is the source of this 2020-nucleotide RNA transcript. It is a transcript of the gene named NADH-ubiquinone oxidoreductase chain 1-like, with no coding region annotated. NCBI's taxonomy places the organism in Eukaryota, Metazoa, Arthropoda, Insecta, Hemiptera, Aphididae. The transcript has 4 exons. The record is from RefSeq and is a predicted model, not a curated record.
AUGAUAUCAAUAGAUGAAUUAGCAAGAAUUACUCCUGUCAAUCCUCCAAUUGUGAAUAAAAAAAUAAAACCUAAAGAUCAAAUUGUGGAAGUUGCUGAUGUAAAAUAUGCUCGUGUAUCAACGUCUAUUCCAAUUGAAAAAGUUACUUUAGGGAUAACAGCUAUAUUUGUUAUAAUUAUUAAUUUUUUGAUUUUAUUUUUAAUAGUUUUUAUAAGAGUUGCUUUUUUUACUUUAUUAGAGCGUAAAGUUUUAGGUUAUAUUCAAUUACGUAAAGGUCCGAAUAAGUUUUUGAUUAAAGGUAUUUUUCAACCUAUAGGUGAUGGGUUAAAAUUAUUUUUUAAAGAAGUUAAUUAUCCGAGUAAUAUAAAUUUUUUUAUUUUUAUAAUUUCUCCUUUAUUGGGUUUAUUAAUUUCAAUUUUUUUUUGAUUUAUUUAUCCUUAUAUUGGUAUGAACUAUAUUAUAGGAUUUGGUUUAAUUUAUAUAUUUUGUUGUUCAAGUUUAAUAGUUUAUAUUUUUUUAAUAAUUAGAUGAUCUUCGAAUUCUAAUUAUUCAGUUUUAGGUAUAAUUCGGUUUAUUUCUCAAAUGAUUUCAUAUGAAGUUAGAAUAAUAAUUAUUAUUAUAAAUUUAAUAUUUUUAAUUAAUAGUUUUAAUUUAAAUGAUUUUUAUAUCUAUCAAAUUAAUUUAAAAUUUUUUUUUUUUCUUUUUUUUUUGUUUAUUUUAUUAUUAAUUAGAUUUUUAGCUGAAAUAAAUCGUUCUCCUUUUGAUUUUUCUGAGGGUGAAUCAGAAUUAGUUUCUGGAUUUAAUAUUGAAUUUAGAAGUUUAUCUUUUAUUUUUAUUUUUAUAUCUGAAUAUAUAAGAAUUAUAUUUAUAGGGAUACUAUUAUGUGAAAUGUUUUUUGGUUUGAUAAUAAAUAAAUUUUAUUUAAAUAUUUUUAUUUUGAUUUUUAUAUUUAUAGUUAUUUGAUUACGUGGGUUUUUACCACGAUUUCGUUAUGAUAAAUUAAUAUAUUUAGUUUGGAAAUUAAUUUUACCUUUGUCUUUAUUUUUAUUUGUCUUUAAUUUUUCUAUUAAAUUAUUUAACUUAUAUCAUUAAUUUAAGUAUUAAGUUAAUAGAAUUAAAUUCUAUUUUUUAUUUUCAAAAUAAAUAUUUUAAAUAAAUUAAUUAACUAAAUUAAUAAUUUAUCUCAUAACUUUAUGAUAUAAAAGUUAAUGAAAAAGUAAGAAAAAUAAAUUGUUGUAAAAAUUUGCCCUGUUGUAAUAAAUGGGUAUUCAACUGGUUGUAUCCCAAUUCAGGUUAAAAUAAAAAAUGUUAUAAUAAAUAUUCAGAAUAAAAAUUUAUUUAAUGGGUAAAAUUUAUUUCUUAAAAAAUUUUUAUUGUUUAAUAUAGGUAAGAUUAAUAAAAUUAAAAUUGAAAGUAUUAAAGCAAUAACCCCUCCUAAUUUAUUAGGGAUUGCUCGUAAAAUUGAAUAAGAAAAUAAAAAAUAUCAUUCUGGUUGAAUGUGAUUUGGUGUAAUUAUUGAAUUUGCUAUAAUAAAAUUAUUGUGAUCAUUUAGUAGGUAUGGAAAAAUUAAAGCUAAAAUAAAAAAUAUUCAUAUAAAUAUGAUUAAUCCAAUUAAAUCUUUAAUUAGAAAAUAUGGAGAAAAAGUAAUUUUAUCAAAAUUUCUAUUAAUUCCUAGUGGAUUAUUAGAACCUGUUAAAUGAAGAAAGAAUAAGUGAAUAAAAGUAAAUAAAAUAAUAAUAAAUGGUAAAAUAAAAUGGAUUGAGAAAAAUCGUGUUAAUGUAGCAUUAUUAAUUGAGAAUCCCCCUCAAAUUCAAAUAACAAUUGAAUUUCCUAAAUAAGGAAUUGCUGAUAAUAAAUUUGUGAUUACUGUUGCCCCCCAAAAUGAUAUUUGUCCUCAUGGUAAUACAUAACCUACAAAUGCUGUUAUUAUUGUUAAUAAUAAUAAAAUUACUCCAAUAAUUCAUGUUAUUUUAAAGUUGAAAGAAUUUAUAUAGAUACCUCGUCUAAUAUGAAUAUAAAU